CCGAGAUUCUCCUGCAGAGGGGCAUGCUCAGUUUUGGAAAAUAAUGGAGAAGCCAUGAAGAUUCGGUGCUGCCUUGGAGAAAACCGUGUCUCUUAGUCCCUCAUAUUCACGCUGCCAGCUUUGCAUGGUGAAUUACGUGUAGAGCUAGAAAUUUCCUUGGAGACAUAUGUCCCACUUUGUCCACCUAUGAUGCAUGUGUAUUUUCCACUAGACAACACACAAAAUAUAAUUCUUUUCAAA
Long non-coding RNA from Alnus glutinosa, 240 nucleotides. RefSeq lists it as uncharacterized. The record is from RefSeq and is a predicted model, not a curated record. The transcript has 2 exons. Lineage: Eukaryota; Viridiplantae; Streptophyta; Magnoliopsida; Fagales; Betulaceae.